This 1024-nucleotide long non-coding RNA is filed under the name Callithrix jacchus (white-tufted-ear marmoset). Its description in RNAcentral is "lncRNA (ENSCJAG00000051767.2)". Lineage: Eukaryota; Metazoa; Chordata; Mammalia; Primates; Cebidae. The record is from RNAcentral.
ACCACAGGUGCUGGGUCACAUACACCCACUUAAGUCUCUUCAGCUGACAAGAACCUGAUUUAAUGCACUGGGUGAUAACUGAACACCUACCUGUGGGCUAGGUUUGCUUUAAUCACCAUCAAUAUUGCUUGAACCAAUCCCCUGCUGAGGACUUCUUUGAGGACUCAACCACCCCCACAGUGACUGGGGAGGUACCAGCUCCAACCCCCAGACCCCGACCAGUAUUUCCCUAUCUUCUAGGACAGCAGAGACUACAAGUGAUUUUAGUAGAAAACCCAACAUCAAGUCUCAGAAAUCAUGGUGCUAGGCCCAGAACUGGGGAUCCAAGGGUAAAUAUGAAAGAACACCUGCCUUUGAAGAGACAACAGGAUGAAGUGCUCAUGGAAAUGAAGAGAGAGACGCUUCAUGAUCCAGUAUUUUCUAUUCCCGGACAUAACUAGGAGGACUUCUGCGACAUUUCUCCGCCUGACCCCAGUUCCACAACUUCAGACCCUACUUUGAUUCAAGCAUCACUUCACUUACAACGUUCUAUUUUCAUUGUUUGCUGAGUUCUUUUCUGAAAACUAAUCUUGGGAAACAGUUAAACACACAAGAGAGUAAAUAUAUUAUACUGUAAUCAGUACACUUGCAGCCCUCAUAUCAGAUGAAUGAAUAUUAAAAUGCUAUCUCAUGUGCUUCAGAAAUUUUUAUUAAAAAAUAAAUAUUACAGGUGUCCUUUUUUUUGUACCCUUCUUACACCAAUUUCCCUUUUUUUUUUUUUUUUUUUUUGAGACGGAGUUUCGCUCUUGUUACCCAGGCUGGAGUGCAAUGGCGCCAUCUCGGCUCACCACAACCUCCGCUUCCUGGGUUCAGGCAAUUCUCCUGCCUCAGCCUCCUGAGUAGCUGGGAUUACAGGCUUGAGCCACAGCGCCCGGCCUAUUUCCCUUCCUUUAACCUCAGUGGAAAUAGUCACUAUAAAAUUGCUCUGUUUCAUUUUUUCUAUAAUUCUGCUCUAUAUGUGUGUGUCAAAAAACAAUAAAGCAAU